Long non-coding RNA from Haemorhous mexicanus (house finch), 7381 nucleotides. RefSeq lists it as uncharacterized. The transcript has 5 exons. Lineage: Eukaryota; Metazoa; Chordata; Aves; Passeriformes; Fringillidae. The record is from RefSeq and is a predicted model, not a curated record.
AAAAACAGUCUGACUGCUGCUUUUUGCUGACAGCCAUUCACGUGUCUCUUCAGGACAGCUCAUGAAUCUACUUGCACCUUCUUAGCUCCCAGAGGAAGCAUUUGUGAUGUGUGUCCAUGCCCUUUCACACUGCCAAAACUGCUACACAGAGGUGCUGGACAAGAAUGUUCUAAACAAGACUCAGCCAAGGCAUCGCAGCUGUGCAAAAGCAAGCCUUGGGUCACAGGCAGCCGAACAUCUGGGCUGGCGUUUAGCAUCUGAAAGUUAGCUGUAUAUUUUCACCAGAACAAAGGCCUGGAUAUAUGCAUUUCAUCAGCCAUCUACUUUGGAGAGGAAUGGCAUAAAUUUCAACACAUCUGCUAUUUUUGCCUGCAAAAUAUUCAAAAUUGUUUCUGCAGAAGCUACGGGCAGCAGUGGGGGACAUUUAUUUAAAGAAACUUGGAACAAUGGAUCACUAGUGAUUAAAAUAAAAAUGGAAAUUACAUUCUGGAUGUAGGAGGCAAAUGAGUAUUGCAUUUACAAUACUCUGGCAUUUAGCAUGUAUGAACCAUCAUUGAAUAGUUGCAUUUUGGAAAUUUUGAAACCUGGUUGUCUUUUGAAAAAUGCAGAUUCAAGCUUCUCAUUUUAUGCUAAUGUGAAGAGGUGAAGGAGAAUACCAGUUUGUUGAAACAAGUGAAUUAGCAUGUGAAUGGGGCGUAUUGGACUUCUCCCUCUUGAAACAGAGGCUUUCAAAGUACAAAGUAGGAUUUAAAUCUCACACUGUGAUUUUUCCCUUCUCAGAGCCCCUAAUCAUGUUACUUGUAGUGCAUUAAUAGGCUUUGAGCCUGUACCCCACUGACUAGAGGUGCUGUCAUUUUUACUAAUAGCCAUAAUCUACAAAUCUUGCAAUCAAUGAAACAACCUGUUUUCUCUCCCCCUUCCUAAUUCUUCUUUUGGGUCUCACUUUCAGUUUUCAGGACUGAUGGUUAUGAAAACACUUCCAAAGUAAGAAUGUGAAUGGCAAACCAGCCUGGACUCUCUCCUUCCUCAUCAAAUCCUUUUUUUUCUGAGGACUGCACUGUCAGCCUUGCCAGAGAGGUUUGCCUUCAGUGCUGAUUUACUCCUUGCAAAUAAGAUGGGCUUGUAGCAAUAUAUUGCUGACAAAGCUAGACUGCAGUGACACAGGAGAAUUAGUGCUGCCAAAGGGAAGAGAUUUGGGGAGGUAGUUUCAGGAAUGUUUCCAGCACCUGGGUGAAUAAAAUCUCACAGCUCAAACAGCCUAAUCCCAUACUGCAACAAGUCAAGCCACCUUCGACAGACUCUAUGACAUUUUUUGCUCAUGUGAAGUAAAAACUCAGGAAUCUCUACUGUGAUUGAAAUUCCCCAACGCAAGUAAAUUUCUGCCUUCCAAGAUCCCCUCCUUCCUCUUUCUCACCUCCAUUCCCCCAAAUUAGCCAUGGUAACAUGACCUGCUUUUCAAAUACCUGCUUGUAUUUGUGCUAUGGAGUGCACGUUUGCCUUCCUUCAUUGCAUUGUACUUGCCUCUGACUAAUGAUUAAAGCAAAGCAAAACCAUUGCAGUUGGUUCGAAGUGCCUCCGUUAGCAAAGAAGAGAGCAUGCCGUAAGUAAUGACACCAGAGCUGGACCACUCUGGGCUGCUCUCAAGCAAAGUCCUGUAAAUAUCACUUGGCAAGAUGUUCCCUGCCUCUCCCAGCCUGCUUUUAUUUGCAAUUAUAUUCACAUUAUUUUCAACAUAACAUUGUAUUUGACAAUAACAUGAUGCUUUGAUUUUAGUUCUCUUAUUUUUUGGGGUAGUGGCUGUCUUAUGAAGUAACACUAGUCUGAGCUCUGUAGCAACUGGAUGUGCCUACUGCAAUAUCAGAGAGUGGUGGCUAACAUCCAGUGGUGCUACACUGCCAGUUGGAAAGGUAGCAGGAGGAGCAGUUAUAUCAGGCUGCUUUAAAGGCUGUAAGACUCUUCCUUCUGCUGGCAAUGCCAGUGUUUGCCCUUCUGACUAAAUCACUGACUCUUCGAUGCAAUAGCUGCUUUGCUCCAUAGGGGGAAGGUAACUCACUCAGUAAAACAGUGUUUAAGAUUAAAAAGGUUGUUAAUUUUUGAUUCUUUUUAAAAUGGAUGUAUACUUGUCUUAUUGCUCUGCUGGGCAAUAAAGGUUUCCUAAGCAGUUCAGUGAAAACCUUGAUUCAUACAGGAUUGGUAUUGGUGCUACCUUGUACUGAGAUGUAGUGUCUCCCAAAAGGAUUUAUCAUAACACACCUGUAAUCUCCUCAAGAGAAGGCAAUUUAGGUGGUAGCUGGUGGAAAAGACCAUGCCAUUUUUCAGUUGAAGUCACCCUGACUGUCCUUUGAUAGUAAGUGGUGUCACAUUCCCUAAUCAGCUUUACUGUCUGCUGAUUUCAAUGAACUCUAUGUCUGUAAUGGAGAAUCAGAGAGCCACUGCUGUAUUUACAGCAGAUAAGAUCCUAUAACAUGGCUGAACAAGUCUCAUGCUGAAAAGAGUGGCUCUACAACCCCUCUGGUUCCUUUGCAGCUCUAGAGAGGAUCUGUAACUUCUCUCCACUGUUUUGAUAAUGAGCAGGAAGUCGAACCACUUCUGUUUCUGCAGAUUAGCUCCCUAAAGUGGCACAGCCUGAGGCUGGGUUUGUGCCCUCAGCUGGGCAAGGAAACACACCUGGGAAAGGGAUGGGGGAGGUUGGGCAGCAGCUGAAGUGUUUGUGGGAAGGUGUGAGCCUGAUACAGACAUCAGCUGUACUUUCCACUUGCUGGACCUGAUGUUGAAAAUUAGCUGGCGUUGCAAAGUCCAGCCAUUGCAGACAGCACACCAUGACAACUCAGGACUGGCCUAUCCAUUGCCAUUAACUGCUGGGUGCCCUUGGAUUCUUAAGCCUGAGCAUUAGAUAGACAGCUGAGUGACUUUUGGCUGGGGUGAGGAUGUAGAAUCUUCCUCAGAGCUGUCUCAGCUUCUUAGCUUCCUUGAAAUAGUUUCCCAGGAGAUGUAUUAAUCUGUUUUUAUAUAUCAUGAAUGCUAUUCUUAGGAGCUACCUUUGAUUUGUUCAGUGUGGCAAGGCAGAAUACAGAGCUGUAUUGAGCUGAAUGUUUUAAGUGCACUAUUCCCCCACACACUGCAAGCACACAUCCUUACACAGACAUGCUUCACUUUUGUCUUUGUCUCUAUGUGAACCUACAUCAAGUCAUAAAGCUUGAGUGGAAUGUCUGUGUUUUACUAAAAGAAAAAGAAGUCUCUGUGAUAUCAUAUAUAUGGCCAGUGUAUUGGGUUUGCAUGGUGAGGAUUUUGUAGUGGCAAGGCUCCUGUAAGCUUCUGGGAAAGCCUAGAGAACCUUCCCCACGUCCAGCAGAGCUCCAAGAUGGACCUGCUGUUGGGCAGGGCUAAGCCCAUCAGCAAUGCUGAUCAUGCCACUGAGGUAAAUUUGUAAGAACAGGGGGAAGAAACCUAGUCUGGGAACAGCAGCAACUGCAGGUGGAGGAAGGAGCGAGAGAAACAGCCCUGCACACACACCAAGGUCAAUGAAGGAGGGAAAGGAAGUGCUCUAGGCAGAGAUUCCCCCGCAGACAACGGUAGGUCAGCUAUCCCCCUUUAGCCCAUAGAACACAGUGGUGGAGCAGAGAUGCACCUGCAGGAUCCCUUGCUGGAGCAGGUGGAUGCCCAAAGAAGGCUGUGACCCUGUGGGAAGUUGGCCCUGGAGCAGGCUCCUGGCAGGACCUGUGAAGAGCAAAACCUGCACAGGAGCAGGUUUGCUGGCACAAUUUGUGACUCCCUGGGGGAUCCACAUGGAGCAGCCUGUUCCUGAUGGACUGCACCCUGUGGAAGGGACAGCUGGAGCAGCUGGUGAGGAACUGGAGCCCACGGGAAAGACUCACAUUGGAGAAAUUCAUGGAGGAUUGUUUGCUGUGGGAGUGACCCCAAACUGGAGAAGGUGAAGAGUGUGAGGAGGAAGGAGUGACAGAGACAAGGUGUAAUGAACUGACUGCAGCCCCCAUUCCCUGACCCUCUGCACCUGGGGAGGAGGGUAGAGAAUCUGAGAGUAAAGAUGAGAUCAACAAGAGGGGAAUGUGUGUGGGGUGAAGGUGUUUCUGCAGAGAAGUACAGGUCAAAUUUGACAAUUUAUCUUAUAUGGAAAUGUGAGCCUCAAAACCUGUGCUCCACCAUGGGUAACAGCUGUAGCUGUCCCUUUGAGGAGAGCCCCUUGAGGUACAGGGUAUAGAUAUCUAGGUUUGACUAUGAUGCAGGUUCAGCUAUGAGUGCACCUCAAGGGGAAUCUCUGCACUUUUUUCCUUUCUUCUCACUUACAAAAGUUACCUUGUAUUUAAUUCCCAUUCAUUAUGCAUGUGUGAGAUCAUACUACCAGAAGUCAGUAUACAUCAAGGGGCUAAGAGCUGGCAAACAUCUGCUGAACACAACUGCAAAUGACUUCUAAAGGCAAGCAUUCAGCAACCUUCAAAAUUAGAAUGACCUGUGCUCUUCAUUCUGCUUUUCAGUGUGUCUAUCACAUGCCACUCCAAGCUGCAGCUGAGAAGAAAGGCACUGAACUACACAAAUGUGUUUUUCCCAGUUAUCAUCUUUGAGAAGGCUGUGAAUAGAGACAUGGGAUAUUUUGCCAAAUGGUGCUCCUGGAGAAGUCACCAGCUGUUGGCAGCAGGUCUUCCAGGCUGCUUGACGAAGCCUGAAUGGAGGCUACCACAUUUACCAGGAUCAGGUGCAUGGACAUGCCACAUGAAUAUGAUUCAUUUAAUUCUCCCUUGGACCCUGUAUUUAAAGACAAAUUAAAAGAGAUUCUUGUUUGGCAUCAGUAUUGAGCUCCACUAUAUACAUGGAUUUGAGCAACUCCAAUUGCAGACCGAUGAGACUCCACCUUGUUAAGAGGAACUGGUAAUUAGGGUCAUGAUACAAGAACUCCUGUACAUUGCCUACCAGAAAAGCUUCUCUCUAACCCAAAAUUUAAGUGCUAUUAUAACCCUGACAAGUUUUCUGUUUAGCUUGGGGCUCAUUUGCUAUGUCAGUGUACACAAACAUAACACUGUUUGCCCUCAUCUAGACCAGCCUACAAGCUACAGUGUGCACACCAUUACAGAAAAUCAAGCAAAAUAUGUAUUGCAAAAUAUGUUUACAAGGAAGAGAAACCCCAGAAUCCAGCAAAAAAGCAGUGCCAGCAAGAGGUAUGUAUUUGAAAUCCAGGAUGUCACAAAAAGGUUAAAUAUGAUGUUAAACUUGAGCUAUGUAAACUAGUUCAAUUUCCUUACUGUGCAUUUUAAAAUCAGUACCAAAUAAAAUGAGUAUAUGAAAAUAGGAAUAAUAAAAGCUUAUUGGUUGGACAAGUGCAGGAAAAUGUUUUUAACAGAAAAAUUGGAGAAACUACAAUAAUUUGUUUAAACUUUACAUGGUCUUAAAUGAAGACUAAAAUACCCACCAAUUCAUGUGUAAAUCUACAGAGUGAAAAAGCCCAGUGGAGAGUAAGAACUGCAGAUUAAUAAAACAUAUCAGGUCAGACAAACGUGGUACCCAAACUCACUGCAAUUGCCUGUGUGUUAUAUAAAAGUAUUCCAGUGCAUGUAAUGCUUAUUGAUUUCAGAAAAGCACUUGAUAUGACACUGAAUUAUAAAACUAGCAUUUGGUGCAUAGGAUACAAGGAAAUAUAAUGGGGUGAAAAGUAGAUUGAUCAAUGCAGAACAACAAAGUGAUGCAUCACUCUUCUCUAAGGGCAGAGCUUCUAUUGGAACAGGGGCUCUUCUCAACCCAUUUUCUGCUGCCAAGAUCUAGAAGAGGAGGCAAUCAGAAAAUGCACUUGUGCUUCCCUAAUAUUGUUUGGUUGGUUGGUUUUUGAGAGGAAAAUGGCUGAUGAUUCAUUACAAAAUGUGUACUUGGGCUCAGAUUUUUCUUUAUUAACUUCUCUCUUGGCACACAGGUUCCUCUGGAAAGUGCAGCUCAGGGGACAGUCUUAUAGGGAAGGGGUUGUUCUGGUGUGGUUCUGUGCCACUCACUCAUAGCUCUGCCUCACUGGUUCCAAUGGUUCUGUUAUGGCAGAGGCAGGACAAAAUAAGGACAUUACUUAAUUCUUUUGCUCUGCAUUUACUCUCAGUUAUCUUGGUGGCAAGAAUUUUCUCUUCUGCAUGCCUUAACAAUUUCAAAAGAAAAUAAUCUAUUAGUUUUUCUUUACACAGGUUUUUUUGUCUAUUAGAGAGUCUGUCCAUUAAGGCUGGACACACAGAUGGUAUCAUCUGAUAAAGAGCCAACAUCAGCUCCAUGGGGGCACCAGCUUUAAUUUAAAGCAACUUACAGAGGACAACUCUGUGAUUGAAGAAAUUGUGGAGUGCAUACUCUAAAAAACCUAAGAUCUCUGAACCAGAUGAACUGGUUGACAAGCCAUGAUAUUUUUGGUUGCAAAGAGAGUAAAGACUUUCUUCAAAUGCCCAGCUCUUAGAUCUGCUGAGUGCAAUCUUUGAUAGUUUCAGAUGGUUCCUUUAGAAAAACUGCUGAACUCUGCUGGUCAACUAACUAGGACGAGAAACAGUAAAUGCAAUGACUACCAGCUUUUGCUGGCAAAAAACUUGGUAAAAAACCUUUAUUUUCUUGGGUAAUAGACAAAAAUGGCUGAAAAUGUAGACUAUGCUAGCAACAAGAGAUAAUACUACAUGCACAUUCCCAAAUUCAAGAAUGAUCAAUCUUCUGAACAUUAUUGGUAACAGUCCUUCCAAAGUUACCCACUGGAGGGCACAAAUACUAGGAAGUGAUAAAUUAUUAAAAAUAAAACCAGAUCCUUUUUGAAGUUCAGGAAAGCUUCAGUAAAGAACCUCAUCCCUUUCUCACUCCAUAUGUUCUCAGUGUGGUUUUGAUCCACUACUUGAAUCUAACCUUGAGAGCAUAUAAUGCCAGGUAGGAAAAUAUAGUGGGGUUAUUGACAAAUAUUAGUACUGUAAAGAGCAGGAAUUUGUAUGAAACAUCAUGCUAUACUAGUUUUUCCUGUUCAGUGCUGAUUUUUCUGUCAUCUUGUAAGAGGUAUUUUAGGAGUAUAAUUUUCUGUGUAAAUUUUCUCCAAAUAACUGUUAUUGGUUAUUAUUAUUGUUCAUGUUUCAAUUGUAUUAUCCCCAUUCUCAGUGAGUGCUUCUGAACUUUAGGAAAUAGGGGUUAUAUUAACUUCAAUACAGGUUUAUUUUUUUGGUAAAAAAAAUUUUUAAAAAACUUAAUGAAUUCCAUGAAGUCAAUGUGUCUAAAAAACACUAAUAACCAUGUUUUCUUGGUUUACAGUUUAGCAUUACUUUCGCCCUCCUCUGACAUCCAUACAAAGAAGUUCAUUAUGCUGAAUCCCCUGCAGCUAGUUUAUAGACCUACUAUGUAUUCUGCAGUGAAAUAAAACAAGCUUUGUUAAGAA